This 460-nucleotide ribosomal RNA is filed under the name uncultured bacterium. RNAcentral describes it as "partial 16S ribosomal RNA". It matches the Rfam family "Bacterial small subunit ribosomal RNA", at positions 338 to 795 of the family's 1533-position model. The record is from RNAcentral.
CCUACGGGAGGCAGCAGUGAGGAAUAUUGGUCAAUGGACGCAAGUCUGAACCAGCCAUGCCGCGUGCAGGAAGACGGCUCUAUGAGUUGUAAACUGCUUUUGUACGAGGGUAAACGCAGAUACGCGUAUCUGUCUGAAAGUAUCGUACGAAUAAGGGUCGGCUAACUCCGUGCCAGCAGCCGCGGUAAUACGGAGGAUUCAAGCGUUAUCCGGAUUUAGUUGGUUUAAAGGGUGCGUAGGCGGUCGGAUAAGUUAGAGGUGAAAGCCCGAGGCUCAACUUCGGAAUUGCCGCUGAUACUGUUCGGCUAGAGAGUAGUUGCGGUAGGCGGAAUGUAUGGUGUAGCGGUGAAAUGCUUAGAGAUCAUAAAGAACACCGAUUGCGAAGGCAGCUUACCAGGCUACUUCUGACGUUGAGGCACGAAAGCGUGGGGAGCAAACAGGAUUAGAUACCCCAGUAGUC